CUGUAUUGUGCUCUAUAUUUGUA
Molecule: non-coding RNA, 23 nt
Filed under: Arabidopsis thaliana (thale cress)
Lineage: Eukaryota; Viridiplantae; Streptophyta; Magnoliopsida; Brassicales; Brassicaceae
Source: RNAcentral